AAGAUGCCCCUGUUGUAUGUAUCAGGUUGGGGAUUUGUUUUGUGGUGAUCACCCUUUCUGAUUUGAAGAUUGCAUGACAAGGAACUAUUAAAGUAAAGGGCAAAGAAUUCAAUUCCUUGAUGUCGCUUUUCUUGGACAGGCUUUAAAAAUAGGUCACUUAAUGUUAUCUGGAUUUGUGUAUUACACUAGCACCUGCUAACACUGCUAUACUUAAGGGUCUACCGGUGUAUUCAAUUUCAGGGUUUCUAGACUGGAUUCUGAUUCUCUAAAUCUAAAUAGGCUUCCAUUCAAAUGGUAGUGAGCAAGGUCUGUGGGAGGCUAUAUAUUUUUUGUACUAUACUGAGUUAAAAAUGAAUGUUUGCUUUAAUAUAUGCUGAGAGGUGAAAAAUGAAAAUGUGGGAUUAACAAAAUUAUCCUAACGUUGAAUAACUCACCAUUUGCAUUUUUUAAAAAAGUCUAUGAAUUGUGCAAUUAGAUAUCUACUUAAAGAUCCAUUAAAAUGGUAAUUACAAGUUUCUGUUAUAUUUUAAUCAUGAACAUAUUAAUGUGCUACCUUUUAGCUAUUGUUAAAUUUCACCUUUUAAAUGUGUUUAGAAUGGGCAAUUAUGCUUUAUUAUCAUGUACUAUUCUACUAAUAUAAAGAUAAUGUCACUAAUAUUGCAUAUAUAUGUACAUAUACACAUGUAGACACAGAUUUUAUAUACUAUCACUUCAUUCAAGAAAUAUAUUUUCUGACAUGUGUGUAAGUAAGUUUCUAAGUGAUAUGUAAUAAAAAUAGUAAUGAUUCUUUUCUCCAUAAAUAUUGAAAUUGAAUCGUCUUUAUUACUUAGUACUUACUAUCCCUGUCCUUCUUAAAGCUCUAUUUCAACAUAGUCCCAUUGCAGCUGUUUAUGCCAGUUCAGAAAUAUAUUUGAUAAAUGUUUUUAUUUUGUGGAUUUAUGACUAUUUAAAAAAAUCCAAAAGCUAACUAUAAAAGGUGACCAUUCUGUAUCAUAGAGCAAAAAUGCUGUACUGCCACUAGAAUCUUAUUAAAUACAAUAAAAACUGUCUUCUUGUUUGUCUGUUAGUAUUGUGUCAUAUAAAUUAGAAAGUAAGUAGUUACAUUGCCCUUUAGUAAUACACUGAUUUUUAGUGGUAAUUCUUAGAUUUCUACAAAGAUGUAGGCUAUCUAUUUAGAAACUGAAGUAUUAAACUGAGAGUAGUAACUAUUUAUUAUUUUGGUGACAUUAAACCUAUCUUUGAAUAAAUAUGGACAACUAAUGCUAUUUUACUAACCACUCCUAAUUUAAUAAUAUACUGUGUCAAUGCAUUAAGAGACUCUGUCCUUGAUGAAAUGAAUUUAUCAGAUAUGAUAACUAGGAUUCUUAUAAUAUCCAGGCUCAUCAGGGUUAGAAAAAAAAUUAUUUUGAAAGAAGUAUCAACGAUAGUUUUCCUAACACCACUGUUCCUGAGUUUCUUUUUAAGGACUUUGAUAUUGAGAUCACAUGCUGCAAUAUUUAAGCUUGAUGGGAUGAGUUAAGGAUAGGGGCUUAAGAUGGCUUAACUGGCAUUUCUGCUUACAUUUGAAAGACUUGGAUCAGUGUCAUCUGAGGCAUCCUUGUGGUCUAUCCUGACACACGUGAAAAUAUUAGCUAUGCCGAAGGAACUUUGGGAUAAGGUCUAUGCUUUGCAUGUUAGUUUAAUUUAUAUUUUGACUAAGACGCUUGUUUCAUACAAAGGUUUCUAUGGGCAUUGAUUUUUUUUCCCUGUUGACAUUAAAUGAGAAAGCACUUUUUUUUUUCCUGAAAACCAACAGUUUUCUACGCAAAUGGGUUCAGACUUAAUUUUAAUGGAAGUGAAACAUAGUCAAUAGAGGCAAAUUAAAACCAUAUAAUUUUGUAAUCUUAGUUUAGCUAUAAUUGCAGCAAUAAAACAGUGGAAAGAAUAAUUGUGGAACAUAUGUUUGUGAGUGACAUUAUCUAGGUGACUUCCCCUUUACGGCAGUGUGCUGUCCUAUUUGUUUCCCCCUCCCUAUGUAUUGGAAUGACAAACCUGCAAGCCUGGAGUUAAUGCUGAUUGCAGCAGCUGCUUACACAUGGAGUCUCCAUAGCAACUGUGAAGGUUGCCAUGCAACCAUAUUCUUUUAGGGACAGUGAAAAUGCCCAAAGGCUUACUAAAAAUACAUGGGGAAAAAAAUCUGAAAUUUUCUUACUACUUUUAGUGGUUAUAAAGAACUAUGAUACAAGUUGAAAGCACAGGUCAAGCAAAUAAAAACCCAGCCCUGACCUUUCAAAAAUUGCUUGCUGUUGCCUGAAAUCUCAAGCUUUAUUCACAGAGAUGACUUUUGAUCGAUUCUAAAAUUGGUAGCUUAUGCUAGGCAGCCCUUGAAGACGGGAAGAUUCAGUAUGGUGCUAUUGGUAUUCCUCAUGGGGUUAAAGGUCAGCAGAAAGUCAUCAAUGCAAUAUUGAUUGGUGGGGCUGAAAAAUGCCCAUGUUUACACCUUCUCGCUGCUUAGGGUUGCGUACCAAACCUUAAGUAGACUCAUGCAGCCUCUGAGCGCGCUCUGGGACAAACCAUUCCAUCAGCAAAUGUGACAUCACUUCAGUCAGCUCAGCUGUUUCUGCAGCUUUCUAUAAAUAGCCAGAUAAAAAAUUGAAGACUACUUGCAGAGAAUUUAACCAACGAAUCUGCUUAUCCAAAUCAUUUAAGAUAAGUUGGGAUUCUGAUUUUGAAAUCUUUAGUUUUCCAUGUUUUUUAACAUAGAAUGUUAUUUUAAUAACAGAGUCUUUUUCAGUACACAUGUAAGAUCUGCUUAUGUGUAUCUAAUUUUAUGAUAGCUUGCCUCUUUAAAAGAGUGGCCCUUGUAAGAAACUGAACAGACAUUGGCCAGUCUCUACUGCAGUAGGCUUCGUUCACGUAGUACAGAUUUCUUGAGAUUAUCUAAUGUAUUAUUUUAGGAGCACAAAUUCAGUAAAUAAAUAAUAUGUUAGAUGGCUAUCAUCAAAUUAUAAUAUUGUAAGUUCCUUAAAAUCCAUCAACAAAGAUAUUAACAUUUCAAAAAGAUAAACAAAUAUGCAUUUUCUUUUAAUCAUAUCUCACAUGAAAUCAGUCAUAUUCUAACAUUUUCCUAUGCAAUUUUCUCAAAGAUGGUAGGUACAUUUUUGAAAUAAAUAUUUUUUUAUUUUUCAUUUUUUUACAAAGACUCUGAAAUUGCAAACUAUUCAUAUUAGACUAAUAAAAACAAUUUUUGUUACUAGGACAUUUCUCAAUUUUUCAUAGAUUUUGUACCAGUGGAGAUGAUAGCAAAUUACCUGGAUCAUAAUAACAGAGCAUCUUACUACUUCAAAUAGACAAGACAGACUUUCUUAAAACCUAUUUUAAUAGAUUGUCUACAAAUUAACAAAAUAUGUGGUUAUUUCACUUUGUCAAGUUAGAUGAACAAAUGAAUGCUUUGUUUGCAAGACUUUAAACAUUCAGACUGACCUAAGAUGUGAAUAUAUGUGUAUACCUGGAAAAUAGAAUAAACCUUCAUCAGUUCAGUGUGAAGCAUCCUUAAGAACAAUGAAGAAUACCCAUCUAGAAAGAAAAGCUUCUUCUAGUUACCAGCUAAUUUCUUAUGUCAUUUUGCCCAACCCUGCCCCACUUUGCUGCAAGUAGUUUGUUGUUUUUAAAAUACUUUCAUUCCCUUCUUUGGAAAGAUCAUGAAGGAUAAUAUAAUUUUAUUCAAGUUCAUUAUUUUCUUAAAAUAUUGAGCCAGAUAAAACUAGACUAUUAAUGUGUUUUUUCUGUUCAGUAUUCCUCUUUAUUGACAACUCAUCAAGAUCUGGCAAAUAACACUAAAUUGAAUUAGUGAUUAAAUUGAGAGCUAAAUUUGUUUUUUUAAAUAAAGAUUUACUUUAUUUUUAAGCAGAUAAUACCUAGAACCAGAUACAAAAGUAAUCUAUAAUAGAAUGAUAUAAGUUUUUUGAAAAAUCAUUAUAAGAUUAAAUAUGAAAAAUGUAUUAACCAUUAAUUUGAUACCAAUUUUUCUGGACACAGAAAACACUUUUUAAAAUUUAGAAGUAUUUGAAUGGACAGUCUUUAAACAAAUUAUAAUCAUGUAUACAUAAGCUACACAAUAAGUAGUGCAAACCAUCUAUAGAGCAGGAUUUUUAGGUUUUAUUUCAGAGGGCUGCUAGUUUGUAAAAUGCAUAUCAUAUGAUACAAAUUGAAACAUGAUAUGGCAUGCAAGCUUAAAUAAAUUAAGCUAGCAUUCAUUAUUACAGAAUUAUCUUCCACACUCUAGUACUUAAAAAACAAGAGAGAAAACUUUGCUAGUUUUAUAAUUAUUUGUUUCCUUUUGGUAUGUAUUUGCCAUGUAUUAAAACUACAUAUUUAUAUUUUAUGUUACUCUAGCUUGGUUUUAAUUUGAAUCUUCUUCAGUGAGUAGUUUUGAAUUUGCAUUUUAUAGCUUGUUAACAAAUUUAAGAAUACAAAUAGACUAUUUUCAUUGGAUUUGAUAGAAAGGACUCUUUUUGAGUAUGUGCAAAUCCCCAAAAUAUUCUGGCUUUUUAAGGUGGUGAUAAUUUAAAUUGUUUUUUCGACGACUGAUCCUAAAAUAGUGAGAAAAAUUUUGCACAGAUUUUAUUUAAAAACUGAAUAGAAUAAGAAUGUAUAGCUGUGGUUAUGGCUUUAUUUAAUUGAUCUCAAAAUACCCCUACAUGUUCAUCUAUGCCCAAAUGUAAUACUAGGAAUACAAGGGCUAAAAUUAUACUUAAUUUUUGAGCAUCUGUUUUAUAUACUCUCAAGUUUUUUUUAAAGGUAAGCAUUUAACAGCUUGGAAAGAGAAAUUAUUAAUAAAGUAUAACUGUUAUAUUAAAAUAUAAUAAAAUGUAUCUUAAAAAAAUAAUGUGAUCCCAUUUUAGGUCAGUUUGUCCUAGGGGGCAUUAUCAACACUCUAAAAAAAUUCAAACUUGAAAAAAAAUCUUUUUUUUUUCUUUUUUUUUUUAGGACAGCAAGCCAUUAAAUCUCAUGAGUAAUGUUGAAAAAAGCUGGAUUGUGCAUAGAUUGCUCUUUACCCAGGAUGCACUUCUGUCUGCAAGAUUCUGAAUAGAGACACACCUGCUAGCUAGCUGAUAACACUCUGGGGUCAUUUCAUUGAAGAAACUGUCAGCCAGGAGUUACUUAAAAUAAAGCCACAGACAAAAUCAUGACCUGCACUGUUGAGACUAAAAAGGUGUAAAAGCAGAAAGGAAAUGUAGAUAAAUGCACAUUCCUUUGUACCAUAACAAAACUUUUACAUGUAAAUUCAACUGAAUAGGAAAGAAUGGGGAAGAAUGUUUCCCUCUACAGUAGAAACAAAUUAGAUUGUUCAGCUGCACAUUUGGCUCUCAGCCAAAGGAGUCGUGUGCCAUGCUUGUUUGCCUACCAGUGCUGCUUAGAUUGGCAAAUGCCCAUGCAGUUUGAAGAGGGCAGGCGGAUGACUGGAUGCCUGCCAGGAAGUGUGUGGGACUGAUGCCACUGCUGGACUCCAUAGCCUGGUAGGAAUGAGGAGUACAAAGGCAUUCAAUAAUCUGAAUGUCCCUUUGCUUCAAGAGAGUGGUGCCAGGCAGCAUUUAAUGAGAGAUUGCUUUGUUACAAAGUCCUCAACAUCAAGUGGGCUGGUGAGCUCAUUAACCUGACUGCAGCAAAUAAAAAAGGCACACUCAGAAGACUCCCAUGAUAGCCUACUCAAUGGUGUAAGAGCCCUUUUGCUUCCUUUAUGGUGAUCCAUUAGCAAGCAGCAGUGUAAACACCAUAAAGCAAGCCAGGUUUCUGAUUGUUCAACUAAAGUCUGUUUCCCCUUGGGGAUUAUACCACCAGUUGAUAUAGGAUUUUUCCUCUUAAGGUUUCUAUCUACUAUAUAAUGACCGUCUUUGCAACGAAGGAUUUUGGGGGUUGCUCUUAACAGCACUGCUCCGGUUAAGGAAACAUGAACUGUUCAGGUGUCUGAAAGAAGGUAAUGAUGUAGGACACACAGAAACAAACUACGAAGUGGAGUGAUCCCAAGAGGAAAUCUUGCUGCGCACUUCUGAAGCCCAAAAUGGUGAACGCAUUACGCUACUUUUCUGCGUUCCCUUUAUUUUUAGCUUUCAGAGGGCUUUACAUUCAUAUGGGAGGUAGGCCACCCCUGCAGUUAGGAGACAGUUCACUGAGCAUCUCUCUCUGAGUGCUACUUCAGCUCUCUGGGGAUUCAUUUACUCUGCAAAGGCUCUUCAGCAAGGAUUCCUCUCUCCUCCAUUUGGAACAUAUUUGAUGGUUGGUUGUGCAAAAAUCUGACUUACAGUGUCUAAACAGAAAGCUAUAGAAUAAAAAAAUAAAAAUAAAAAAAACUGAAAGAUAAAGGAAGACCAAAAACAAAACAAAACAAAACAAAACAAAACAAAACAAAAAAAACACAAAAGAUCACAACAUUACAUCUUUUGAAAUCCAAAGGCCAUCUGUUGCUUUGCUAUCAAAUGUGAGGAGGUCAUCGUAUGACUUUAGAGAUUGGUUUGAGAAAUGAGAAAGGAAAAGCCCAUAACUUUCAAGUUACCAAUUUAAAUCUAGAAGCAAUUACAGGUGAGUGACAACCAUUGUUUUCUGAUUGACAUUUGGUGGUUAAAAUGAAAAAAGUUAAUUGUCUUGGUCCGACGUUUAGUUAACAUAUGUCUGUAGUAAUCAAAAUUAUUAUGUAUAAUUGAAAAAAUAAUCUGGAUGUAGAAAUCAUUCAUUUUGUUUCCUCCAUAAUCAUUUUGGAGAAAGGAUCAAGUAUAACUUCAAUGAAAUCCUAUAUGAGAGUGUUUUGGCCCUUUGUUAAUUUUUUUAAAAAUAGAACAUACCAAUUUAACUUUUGCUUAUUUCUGAAUGAAAUAUGAAGUCAUAACUAGAGAAUUAACUGAAACAUGAAGAAUUAACAAAAAUGCCUUAUAUAAUAAUAAUAUUGAUCCCCUUCAUUUGACCAUAUAAAACAAAAGCAGCUGUGGGCAGUGUCUCAUGCCUGUAAUCCCAGUGGUUCAGGAGGCUAAAGCAGAAGGAAUUCAAGUUUGAGGCCAACCUCAGCAAAUUAGCAAGGUCCUAAGCAAUUUAGUGAGAUCCUGACUCAAAAUUUAAAAAAAAUAAAUAAAAUGGUCUGGGGAUAUGGCUCAGUGGUAAAAUGCCUCUGGGUUCAAUCUCUAGUUUAAAAAAAAAGAAAAAAGUAGGUGGUUGGGUACCUAGUUUUUCAAUUCAUAUGAAGAAUGAAUUAUUUUCAAGGAUUAUUAUCUUCAUAUAUGAAUGUUCUGAAAGUUAAUUACUUUGAGCUUGAUAUGUAUCUGUAAGGAGGGCAUAUAGAUAUCUAUAUAUAGAGAGAUACACAUAUAUAUUUAGUAUAUAUUUAUAUGUAAAAUAUGGUUAGAAAGAUCAAGUUGAAAAUAUUGAUGACUUUGAACUGGUAGCUUAAGUUAAAAUGGAAGCAUACAAUAGGAAAAGUAUCCUUUAUUAGUGUAAAGGAAAUAGAUUUUUAAAGAUACAGUUAGACCACCCAGAAUAGCAGAAAGGCUAAUGAAUACUUUAGAGGUCUUUUUCUGGAUGGUGAGCUGUUGGAGGAGAGCCACCAUGAUUUAUUUUUGUCUUGCUUCUUGUUGUUUCCUUGCUGUAUUUCUUCUCCUGUCUUACAAAACUAAUUUUAAAAAUUCCUUUAAUUGGUUUCACAGAGAUGUCUAAGCAGGGUGAUACAAUCACCCUGUUGGAGAAAAAGCACAGGCUUUAAAACAAUGCAACCCUGGGCUAUAAUUCCAUCUUCUUUACUGAUGAGUCGUGUAUCAUUGGACAAAUUCCUUGACUUAUCUAAGCCUCAGUUUCUUUACAAAUAAAAUAGACAGGAACACCUGCCUCAUAGAGGAUUAAAGUGCUCAGCAUCUAAAAGGUCAUAUGCACACUGCUGGCACAUAGCAGUUGGUAUUAUUACUGUUGAAAGUGACUGAAACGAUCAAACUCGAA
This 7956-nucleotide long non-coding RNA is filed under the name Marmota monax (woodchuck). The record is from RNAcentral. Lineage: Eukaryota; Metazoa; Chordata; Mammalia; Rodentia; Sciuridae.